AAAUUGAAGAGUUUGAUCAUGGCUCAGAUUGAACGCUGGCGGCAGGCCUAACACAUGCAAGUCGAACGGUAACAGGAAGCAGCUUGCUGCUUCGCUGACGAGUGGCGGACGGGUGAGUAAUGUCUGGGAAACUGCCUGAUGGAGGGGGAUAACUACUGGAAACGGUGGCUAAUACCGCAUAACGUCGCAAGACCAAAGAGGGGGACCUUCGGGCCUCUUGCCAUCAGAUGUGCCCAGAUGGGAUUAGCUGGUUGGUGAGGUAACGGCUCACCAAGGCGACGAUCCCUAGCUGGUCUGAGAGGAUGACCAGCCACACUGGAACUGAGACACGGUCCAGACUCCUACGGGAGGCAGCAGUGGGGAAUAUUGCACAAUGGGCGCAAGCCUGAUGCAGCCAUGCCGCGUGUAUGAAGAAGGCCUUCGGGUUGUAAAGUACUUUCAGCGGGGAGGAAGGUGUUGUGGUUAAUAACUGCAGCAAUUGACGUUACCCGCAGAAGAAGCACCGGCUAACUCCGUGCCAGCAGCCGCGGUAAUACGGAGGGUGCAAGCGUUAAUCGGAAUUACUGGGCGUAAAGCGCACGCAGGCGGUCUGUCAAGUCGGAUGUGAAAUCCCCGGGCUCAACCUGGGAACUGCAUUCGA
RNAcentral lists this ribosomal RNA (640 nucleotides) under Salmonella enterica subsp. enterica serovar Kentucky. RNAcentral's name for it is "bacterial SSU rRNA". It matches the Rfam family "Bacterial small subunit ribosomal RNA", at positions 1 to 630 of the family's 1533-position model. Lineage: Bacteria; Pseudomonadati; Pseudomonadota; Gammaproteobacteria; Enterobacterales; Enterobacteriaceae. The record is from RNAcentral.